GUGGGGAAUCUUGCGCAAUGGGCGAAAGCCUGACGCAGCCAUGCCGCGUGAAUGAUGAAGGUCUUAGGAUUGUAAAAUUCUUUCACCGGGGACGAUAAUGACGGUACCCGGAGAAGAAGCCCCGGCUAACUUCGUGCCAGCAGCCGCGGUAAUACGAAGGGGGCUAGCGUUGCUCGGAAUUACUGGGCGUAAAGGGCGCGUAGGCGGACAGUUUAGUCAGAGGUGAAAGCCCAGGGCUCAACCUUGGAAUUGCCUUUGAUACUGGCUAUCUUGAGUAUGGAAGAGGUAUGUGGAACUCAGAGUGUAGAGGUGAAAUUCGUAGAUAUUCGGAAGAACACCAGUGGCGAAGGCGACAUACUGGUCCAUUACUGACGCUGAGGCUCGAAAGCGUGGGGAGCAAACAGGAUUAGAAACCCGAGUAGUCC
Molecule: ribosomal RNA, 425 nt
Filed under: uncultured bacterium
Lineage: Bacteria
Description: partial 16S ribosomal RNA
Rfam family: Bacterial small subunit ribosomal RNA
Source: RNAcentral